RNAcentral lists this ribosomal RNA (465 nucleotides) under uncultured bacterium. Its description in RNAcentral is "partial 16S ribosomal RNA". It matches the Rfam family "Bacterial small subunit ribosomal RNA", at positions 28 to 507 of the family's 1533-position model. The record is from RNAcentral.
GACGAACGCUGGCGGCGUGCUUAACACAUGCAAGUCGAACGGAAAGGCCCUGCUUGCAGGGUACUCGAGUGGCGAACGGGUGAGUAACACGUGGGUGAUCUGCCCUGCACUUCGGGAUAAGCUUGGGAAACUGGGUCUAAUACCGGAUAGGAACCAUCUUUAGUGCGGUGGUUGGAAAGUUUUUUCGGUGUAGGAUGAGCUCGCGGCCUAUCAGCUUGUUGGUGGGGUAAUGGCCUACCAAGGCGGCGACGGGUAGCCGGCCUGAGAGGGUGUACGGCCACAUUGGGACUGAGAUACGGCCCAGACUCCUACGGGAGGCAGCAGUGGGGAAUAUUGCACAAUGGGCGCAAGCCUGAUGCAGCGACGCCGCGUGGGGGAUGAAGGCCUUCGGGUUGUAAACUCCUUUCGCUAGGGACGAAGCUUUUUGUGACGGUACCUAGAUAAGAAGCACCGGCUAACUACGUG